GACGAACGCUGGCGGCGUGCUUAACACAUGCAAGUCGAACGCUGAAGCUUGGUGCUUGCACUGGGUGGAUGAGUGGCGAACGGGUGAGUAAUACGUGAGUAACCUGCUCUUGACUCUGGGAUAAGCCUGGGAAACUGGGUCUAAUACUGGAUACGACAUGUCACCGCAUGGUGGUGUGUGGAAAGGGUUUUACUGGUUUUGGAUGGGCUCACGGCCUAUUAGCUUGUUGGUGGGGUAAUGGCUCACCAAGGCGACGACGGGUAGCCGGCCUGAGAGGGUGACCGGCCACACUGGGACUGAGACACGGCCCAGACUCCUACGGGAGGCAGCAGUGGGGAAUAUUGCACAAUGGGCGGAAGCCUGAUGCAGCGACGCCGCGUGAGGGAUGACGGCCUUCGGGUUGUAAACCUCUUUCAGCACGGAAGAAGCGAAAGUGACGGUACGUGCAGAAGAAGCGCCGGCUAACUACGUG
This 472-nucleotide ribosomal RNA is filed under the name uncultured bacterium. Its description in RNAcentral is "partial 16S ribosomal RNA". It matches the Rfam family "Bacterial small subunit ribosomal RNA", at positions 28 to 507 of the family's 1533-position model. The record is from RNAcentral.